This 472-nucleotide ribosomal RNA is filed under the name uncultured bacterium. RNAcentral's name for it is "partial 16S ribosomal RNA". It matches the Rfam family "Bacterial small subunit ribosomal RNA", at positions 28 to 507 of the family's 1533-position model. The record is from RNAcentral.
GACGAACGCUGGCGGCGUGCUUAACACAUGCGAGUCGAACGAUGAACCCGGAGCUUGCUCUGGGGGAUUAGUGGCGAACGGGUGAGUAACACGUGAGUAACCUGCCCUGGACUCUGGGAUAAGCGUUGGAAACGACGUCUAAUACCGGAUAGGACCUUGGAUCGCAUGAUCUGGGGUGGAAAGUUUUUUCGGUCUGGGAUGGACUUGCGGCCUAUCAGCUUGUUGGUGAGGUAAUGGCUCACCAAGGCGUCGACGGGUAGCCGGCCUGAGAGGGUGACCGGCCACACUGGGACUGAGACACGGCCCAGACUCCUACGGGAGGCAGCAGUGGGGAAUAUUGCACAAUGGGCGAAAGCCUGAUGCAGCAACGCCGCGUGCGGGAUGACGGCCUUCGGGUUGUAAAACGCUUUUAGUAGGGAAGAAGGGCUUCGGCUUGACGGUACCUGCAGAAAAAGGACCGGCUAACUACGUG